This 367-nucleotide ribosomal RNA is filed under the name Ephedrus plagiator. Its description in RNAcentral is "partial 16S ribosomal RNA". Lineage: Eukaryota; Metazoa; Arthropoda; Insecta; Hymenoptera; Braconidae. The record is from RNAcentral.
AAAACAUGUCUUAUAGAAAAUAAUUUUAAGUCAAAUCUGCCCAAUGAAAAAUUUAAUGGCUGCAGUAUCAAUAACUGUACAAAGGUAGCAUAAUAAAUAGUUUUUUAAUUAAAAACUAGAAUGAAUGAUUUAAUGAAAUAUAAACUAUAUAAAAAUAAUUAAAAUUUAAAAUUAAAUUUUAAGUAAAAAUUCUUAAAUUUAAUUAAUAGACGAUAAGACCCUAUAGAAUUUUAUAAUAAAAUAUUUUUAAAAAUAAAAUAUUAUUUAAUUGGGGUAAUUUUAAAAUUAAUUAAACUUUUAAUAUAAAAACAUAAAUUAAUGAUUUAAAAAUCCUAAACUUUAGAAUUUUAAAAUAAAUUACCUUAGG